AGAUCCCAAAAGCUCAGAUGACUGAUUGGAUCUUUCAGUGGCGUUGGCUGAAGGUGAAGCCGUUCUCUUGUACACCAGAGGGAUGUGGCUCCCAAAAAAAACAAAAAUUAUAUCAUUACACCAGUAAGUGGCAACAAGUGACUGUCUUUACGAGGUGUGACUCUCCCCCGUAAAACACACACCGUGUGAUGCACAACUUCCCUUUCCUGCCGACACACAGCUGCGUGUCUGAGGCUUGGCGCUCUGCUCUCGUAAAUCAAGGCUUUCUGCAGCAGCAGGAUCCAAUCAGGCCCAGGUGGAGGCCCAGGGGGCAGCUCGGGGGCCAGGCCUGGGGAAUACAAGCUCUGUGCUGGACACCAGAAGAGACUAAAGGCCCAGUACAGGAGAAAGUGCAGAGGACCCGAGCUGGAACCCUGAGGGAUGCCAACACGCUGAAAGAUCUUGGGGAAGAUCCAUCACAUCCACUACUAACCUAAAGUUUCCCUUUUACUCUUUCACAAACUGACACACACAUUUUUGUGUUCUUUCUUUCUCAGUGAUGUACCCAUACAUACUUCUUUCAACAACUUAUCCCCCAAACACACACAGACAUACCCACAGCCCUCUGUUGGUGUCUCCUCACAGGAGAGAGGGUUUGCGAGGGAGGGGUGAAGGAGGGAUGUUGAUGAAAAGUGGCACAGGCCCACGGAAUGUGAUCAGGCCUCCACAUCUGCAGGAAAGACGAAACCGGCCUCCCAAUUUUACAAUGAUGAUGUCAGCCUGCCUACAUGACAGUGUGUGGCUGAGGUGCCAAGUUUCUCCUCUUUCGCUUUGUGUUUUUUUUUUUCCUUUUUCCUUCUCUACCCUUUUUUUUUUUUUGCUGUCUUUUCUGCUCUCUGUGCUUUUUUUUAUUUUUAUCCGAACCCCCUUCCUUUCUUCUUUCUUUUUUUUUUUUUUUUUUUUGUCAUUUUUCCUUCUGUUCACAGCGAAGCCUAGUUUUAUGUUUUAUAGCAUGUAACUCUCAUGGGACAGUAUUAACCAUGCUUUCAUAUGGGGCGAAUUGAGAGCUGGUAAUUUCUAAUUUCAGAAAUAUACUGUGUUUUUGGACUGUAUUCAGCUCAUCUUUAUGAUUAGAAGCACUGCUGACCUCAAUGUCUGAUUGAAACAAAACUUCACAGGUGUAAUAUGUUUCACAUUCUGUUUUUCUGUACUCAGAAAUAGUCAUUGUAGUGGCUGUAUACAAAGGCCAAUUAUAUCCUAAAUUAUGUACAGUGACUAAUGUGAAGAGAACACAAAUAUUCUUUACUGUAUUUGUGUUCUGUACUAGGAUAUAUGCCCAAUUUGAAUGCACUUCUCCAUUAUUUGAUCAUAAUUUUAUUAUUGAUUCCAGGAUCAAUAGGAAAUUAACACAAAUAUCUCUUAAUUGAAAUUCCUUUUUUAUGCUUUCCGCAGGCAGUAAAGGUGCAUUGUUAAUUACAGGACUCAAAUAAAACAAGUAAAAAGUUAUUCAAAAAGUUUUUUGA
Long non-coding RNA from Ctenopharyngodon idella (grass carp), 1502 nucleotides. RefSeq lists it as uncharacterized. The transcript has 3 exons. The record is from RefSeq and is a predicted model, not a curated record. Lineage: Eukaryota; Metazoa; Chordata; Actinopteri; Cypriniformes; Xenocyprididae.